RNAcentral lists this ribosomal RNA (292 nucleotides) under uncultured bacterium. RNAcentral describes it as "partial 16S ribosomal RNA". It matches the Rfam family "Bacterial small subunit ribosomal RNA", at positions 505 to 796 of the family's 1533-position model. The record is from RNAcentral.
GUGCCAGCAGCCGCGGUAAUACAGAGGGUGCAAACGUUGCUCGGAAUCAUUGGGCGUAAAGCGCACGUAGGCGGUCUGUUAAGUCGGGUGUGAAAUCCCCAGGCUCAACCUGGGAAGUGCACUCGAAACUGGCGGGCUUGAAUAUGGAAGAGGGUCGCGGAAUUCCCGGUGUAGAGGUGAAAUUCGUAGAUAUCGGGAGGAACACCAGUGGCGAAGGCGGCGACCUGGGCCAAUAUUGACGCUGAGGUGCGAAAGCGUGGGGAGCAAACAGGAUUAGAUACCCCCGUAGUCC